CACGUAGGGGGCGAGCGUUGUCCGGAUUCAUUGGGCGUAAAGGGCGCGCAGGCGGCUCGGAAAGUCGGGUGUGAAAACUCGGGGCUCAACCCCGGGCGUGCAUCCGAUACUGCCGGGCUUGAGGCAGGUGGGGGAGAUCGGAAUUCCUAGUGUAGCGGUGAAAUGCGCAGAUAUCAGGAGGAACACCGGUGGCGAAGGCGGAUCUCUGGGCCUGUCCUGACGCUGAGGCGCGAAAGCUAGGGGAGCGAACAGG
Molecule: ribosomal RNA, 253 nt
Filed under: uncultured bacterium
Lineage: Bacteria
Description: partial 16S ribosomal RNA
Rfam family: Bacterial small subunit ribosomal RNA
Source: RNAcentral